Long non-coding RNA from Perognathus longimembris pacificus (Pacific pocket mouse), 398 nucleotides. RefSeq lists it as uncharacterized. The record is from RefSeq and is a predicted model, not a curated record. NCBI's taxonomy places the organism in Eukaryota, Metazoa, Chordata, Mammalia, Rodentia, Heteromyidae. The transcript is spliced from 3 exons.
GCCAUCACUGGAGGAAGUUGUGUGUGGAUUUGGUGUGGGGUUGCCACGGGAGGAAGUUGUCUCUGGAGAAGUCACGCGAUGUCCUCUUUGCAGUUACUUUUACUCAUAGACUCUCCUUUUUAGCUUGCAUGGCCAUUAGAAACCCAUUCAUCAUGGUGACCCUGGCCCGCAUCUAUCGAAUCUUACAGUGGUCCAGCCACUAAUGACUGAGAGCAGCGUCACAUAACACCUUCCCUGAACCUGUGAGUCAGAUUCCACUGGCAGUCUGCGCCUUGCUCUAAGCAGUCAGACUCUCCCAGGAUGCUGUUACUUCUCAUGCACAGUGAUUCAGUCUGACGUGCAGUGGGUCAAAGAGCCUCAAGGUCCUUCCGAGGGGGAGGAUUUUUCGUGGAGUUGUU